RNAcentral lists this ribosomal RNA (162 nucleotides) under Agrostis capillaris (colonial bentgrass). Its description in RNAcentral is "5.8S ribosomal RNA". It matches the Rfam family "5.8S ribosomal RNA". From Rfam's summary of the family: 5.8S ribosomal RNA (5.8S rRNA) is a component of the large subunit of the eukaryotic ribosome. It is transcribed by RNA polymerase I as part of the 45S precursor that also contains 18S and 28S rRNA. Functionally, it is thought that 5.8S rRNA may be involved in ribosome translocation. The record is from RNAcentral. Lineage: Eukaryota; Viridiplantae; Streptophyta; Magnoliopsida; Poales; Poaceae.
ACACGACUCUCGGCAACGGAUAUCUCGGCUCUCGCAUCGAUGAAGAACGUAGCGAAAUGCGAUACCUGGUGUGAGUUGCAGAAUCCCGCGAACCAUCGAGUCUUUGAACGCAAGUUGCGCCCGAGGCCAUUCGGCUGAGGGCACGCCUGCCUGGGCGUCACG